This 253-nucleotide ribosomal RNA is filed under the name uncultured bacterium. RNAcentral's name for it is "partial 16S ribosomal RNA". It matches the Rfam family "Bacterial small subunit ribosomal RNA", at positions 524 to 776 of the family's 1533-position model. The record is from RNAcentral.
UACGGGGGGUGCGAGCGUUAAUCGGAAUUACUGGGCGUAAAGGGUCUGUAGGUGGUAAGAUAAGUCAGAUGUGAAAGCCCAGGGCUCAACCUUGGAAUUGCAUUUGAGACUGUUUUACUAGAGUAUGAUAGAGGAAUGAGGAAUUUCUGGUGUAGCGGUGAAAUGCGUAGAUAUCAGGAGGAACACCGAUGGCGAAGGCAACAUUCUGGGUUAAUACUGACACUGAGGGACGAAAGCGUGGGUAUCGAACAGG